RNAcentral lists this ribosomal RNA (468 nucleotides) under uncultured bacterium. RNAcentral's name for it is "partial 16S ribosomal RNA". It matches the Rfam family "Bacterial small subunit ribosomal RNA", at positions 28 to 507 of the family's 1533-position model. The record is from RNAcentral.
GACGAACGCUGGCGGCGUGCUUAACACAUGCAAGUCGAACGGAAAGGCCCUGCUUUUGUGGGGUGCUCGAGUGGCGAACGGGUGAGUAACACGUGAGUAACCUGCCCUUGACUUUGGGAUAACUUCAGGAAACUGGGGCUAAUACCGGAUAGGAGCUCCUGCUGCAUGGUGGGGGUUGGAAAGUUUCGGCGGUUGGGGAUGGACUCGCGGCUUAUCAGCUUGUUGGUGGGGUAGUGGCUUACCAAGGCUUUGACGGGUAGCCGGCCUGAGAGGGUGACCGGCCACAUUGGGACUGAGAUACGGACCAGAAUCCUACGGGAGGCAGAAGGCGGGAAUAUUGCACAAUGGGCGGAAGCCUGAUGCAGCAACGCCGCGUGCGGGAUGACGGCCUUCGGGUUGUAAACCGCUUUCGCAUGUGACGAAGCGUGAGUGACGGUAAUGGGUAAAGAAGCACCGGCUAACUACGUG